This 1490-nucleotide ribosomal RNA is filed under the name Streptococcus salivarius. RNAcentral describes it as "16S ribosomal RNA". It matches the Rfam family "Bacterial small subunit ribosomal RNA". Lineage: Bacteria; Bacillati; Bacillota; Bacilli; Lactobacillales; Streptococcaceae. The record is from RNAcentral.
UUAAUGAGAGUUUGAUCCUGGCUCAGGACGAACGCUGGCGGCGUGCCUAAUACAUGCAAGUAGAACGCUGAAGAGAGGAGCUUGCUCUUCUUGGAUGAGUUGCGAACGGGUGAGUAACGCGUAGGUAACCUGCCUGGUAGCGGGGGAUAACUAUUGGAAACGAUAGCUAAUACCGCAUAAAAUUGAUUAUUGCAUGAUAAUUAAUUGAAAGAUGCAAUUGCAUCACUACCAGAUGGACCUGCGUUGUAUUAGCUAGUUGGUGAGGUAACGGCUCACCAAGGCGACGAUACAUAGCCGACCUGAGAGGGUGAUCGGCCACACUGGGACUGAGACACGGCCCAGACUCCUACGGGAGGCAGCAGUAGGGAAUCUUCGGCAAUGGGGGGAACCCUGACCGAGCAACGCCGCGUGAGUGAAGAAGGUUUUCGGAUCGUAAAGCUCUGUUGUAAGAGAAGAACGGGUGUGAGAGUGGAAAGUUCACACUGUGACGGUAUCUUACCAGAAAGGGACGGCUAACUACGUGCCAGCAGCCGCGGUAAUACGUAGGUCCCGAGCGUUGUCCGGAUUUAUUGGGCGUAAAGCGAGCGCAGGCGGUUAGAUAAGUCUGAAGUUAAAGGCUGUGGCUUAACCAUAGUAUGCUUUGGAAACUGUUUAACUUGAGUGCAGAAGGGGAGAGUGGAAUUCCAUGUGUAGCGGUGAAAUGCGUAGAUAUAUGGAGGAACACCGGUGGCGAAAGCGGCUCUCUGGUCUGUAACUGACGCUGAGGCUCGAAAGCGUGGGGAGCAAACAGGAUUAGAUACCCUGGUAGUCCACGCCGUAAACGAUGAGUGCUAGGUGUUAGGCCCUUUCCGGGGCUUAGUGCCGCAGCUAACGCAUUAAGCACUCCGCCUGGGGAGUACGACCGCAAGGUUGAAACUCAAAGGAAUUGACGGGGGCCCGCACAAGCGGUGGAGCAUGUGGUUUAAUUCGAAGCAACGCGAAGAACCUUACCAGGUCUUGACAUCCCUCUGACCNNNNNNNNNNNNNNNNNNNNNNNNNNNNNNNNNNNNNNNNNNNNNNNNNNNNNNNNNNNNNNNNNAGUUGGGCACUCUAGCGAGACUGCCGGUAAUAAACCGGAGGAAGGUGGGGAUGACGUCAAAUCAUCAUGCCCCUUAUGACCUGGGCUACACACGUGCUACAAUGGCUGGUACAACGAGUCGCAAGCCGGUGACGGCAAGCUAAUCUCUGAAAGCCAGUCUCAGUUCGGAUUGUAGGCUGCAACUCGCCUACAUGAAGUCGGAAUCGCUAGUAAUCGCGGAUCAGCACGCCGCGGUGAAUACGUUCCCGGGCCUUGUACACACCGCCCGUCACACCACGAGAGUUUGUAACACCCGAAGUCGGUGAGGUAACCGUAAGGAGCCAGCCGCCUAAGGUGGGAUAGAUGAUUGGGGUGAAGUCGUAACAAGGUAGCCGUAUCGGAAGGUGCGGCUGGAUCACCUCCUUUCUAAGGA